Molecule: RNA transcript, 2308 nt
Organism: Magnolia sinica
Lineage: Eukaryota; Viridiplantae; Streptophyta; Magnoliopsida; Magnoliales; Magnoliaceae
Exons: 12
Source: RefSeq, a predicted model, not a curated record
UGGAUGAUUGAGUUUACUGCAUUCUAGUAAUUAUCCUAGAAACAUAUGCCAAAGUGUAACAAUUCAUGACUUCUCAAUAAGUAGCUUGUGAUUUUUGGGUUAAAGCAUAUUAAGAUAGUUUUCAUAUGUGAAUGGCAUCUAUCCUAUGUAAUAUUCUCCUUUUAACAAGCUUGGCAAUGGGUUGGGCCUGGGCCAGCAAAUUCAAAUUCAAAAUCCAGGCCAACCUUCGACUAUCAUGAAGCAAUAUAAUUUUGUGCAUUAUGAUUCCUCUUUCAUUACAACUGUGGCCAACAUCAAACAACAUUAUGUUCUAAGUAUUUAUUUAUAUUUGAUUGAUUGUUCUCAUGGUUUCUUAAUUAUGCAGGUCAGCCGCCUUUUGGACCUGAUAUUUCACAGUCUAUAUAACCACAAGGAAGUAUUUCUCCGGGAGCUUGUAAGACAUAUACAGGUGUUAAACAUGAGUACUAGACGCAGGGUUAGGCAAUCUGUAGGCCCUAUGACUGAUAGCACCAGCCAACCUCAGCUGCCUCAGGUUACUAGUGAUUCAACGUCCAAGAAAACAAAGACUCGAGGCCCCACGCGAUGCUUUGAUGUUUGGAAAAAGCGUGAAGGUCAACGGAUAUCUAUUUCCGUCAAUGAUCUAGGGCAGCCCAUUUGUGACAAUGCUAGUAAGCUGACAAAUUUCAUAGGGACACUAGCACGCAAUGGGGAAUAUGCUCCCCUUACAUUUAAUGAUUGGAGGGCGGUGCCGAAUGCAAAGAAAGAUGAUAUGUGGGGGCUUGUCACGUCCAAGUUUGAGUUUGACGGUAAUGCUAAGGCUUGGGUGUUGAAGUCAAUUGGUAAAAAAUGGAGGGAAUGGAAGGGCGAGCUGAAGAAACUCCACUACUCUUCUCAUGAGAUUGAUGAGGAGCGGCUCGCAGAUCUUGAUGAGCGGGUCCAAGAGGAUCAAUGGAAGAUUCUCGUUCAGUUUUGGAACUCUGAAGAGGGGAAGGCUCGUUCUAAAACAAAUACAAAGAGUCGGAAGAAACAACUGAUUAACCAUGCAGCAGGCUCGAAGAGUUUUGCGCGAAUACGUGAGGAAGAGAGGAAAAAGGCCAAUGGGGAGGGUCCGAGCCGAGCAGAUAUGUUUAUAUUGACUCAUACAUGCAAAGAUGGAAAGCCUGUGGAUGAGGCCUCAUCAGUAGUAAUGACAAAACUCAAUGAAGAAAUAUCUCAGCAACCUGGGGCCUCACAGAGUAGCACGAUAAGGAAUGAUCUAUUAUCUCAAGUCAUGGGAGAAGAUAGGCAUGGUCGUGUCCGCACUUAUGGGUUAGGACCAUCUCCAUCUGAUUUGUGGGGCACAACAUCCAGCCAGCAAAGGAUGGCCUCCAUUGCUCAGAGAAGAGAUGAAAGAUAUGAUGAACUACAUGCUGACAUAGUCUCUCUAAAAGAAAAUAUAGCUGCACUCUCAUCCUUAAGAGAAGCUGAAAUGUCAUCCCUCAAAGAAACUAUGGUUGAAAUCUCAUCCACAAGAGAUGCUGAAAUUUCUUCCUUAAAAGAAACUCUGAUGAAAUUGAUAGCCACUAUGAAUAAUGCAAACAAUAACCCACCCACAGUAUUCGGUGUUGCAGCUAGUUCUAACAUGAACCAACCGUCCUCAUUAUCAAGACAUUGGGUGACCUAUCGGAAACGCUCGACGAAUAAGGGGAAGACCACGAGUUGUACUAGUGCCGGGGAUAUGACUGGAGUUAGUCUUACAAGUAUCAUGAAACCUGGGGUUACUAUUGCUAAAGGAGUUGUUUUGAGCAAGGAUCCCCUCACAAAAGUAGGGGGGCAUGAACUUGGAAUUGGUUUUUGGGAAGUAUUAAUUCAUGUGGCAAUAGUACGGGAUGAGGUUUUGAUAAGACCCUAUGGACGAUAUAAAACAAUUGGGGAUGCUAUUGGAACGAGUAUUGUUUGGCCUUCUAUUUUAUGUAAGGUUUAAGGAGAGAUGGAUUGAGCUAAAUGAAAGGACCUCUCUCUUUCUCUCUUGUAAAUAUUUUAAAUUUUGUGCAUGGGUUCAGGAUUGAUGUGUGAUUGGUUUUGGAUAGAAAGUGUUUGACUCUAAUUUUGCAAUUUGGAUUGACUUAAGAUCCAAUGCAUAUGAUAGGAGGGCGUCUACCUUUUUUAGCAUGUUUUUUGAGGCAGUAUUAGAUGAUGGAAGCAAAGUGAAGGAGAACAACUACAUUUAUGUAAUUUUCACUAAUGAAUCCAACAUUGAGCGCGGGAAGAAUAAAAGACAGCAAGCUGUUGACUCCAAAAUUGGAUGUCUCAACAAUUUCAUUAAGGG